Molecule: long non-coding RNA, 3555 nt
Organism: Ictalurus punctatus (channel catfish)
Lineage: Eukaryota; Metazoa; Chordata; Actinopteri; Siluriformes; Ictaluridae
Source: Ensembl
UUUUUUUCAUGCAGGUCUGUCCCCUACAUGGCCUGUGCAAUCAGGAAUAAGAUGCCUCUUGGGGUAUGUCCUCAAUAACCCUGAAGUUUAUUCAUCACACAGAGAAGCAGACAUUCCUACAUGUCAAUCCUGCUGAUAGUCAGUGAGUUCACAGAGCUCCUCACAGCCAAUACUGUGGUCAAAAUAAAACCCACAAGCAAACAGGAGCCACUGAGUCUCUAAAUUCAACCAAUGACUUCUCCCUUUUUAUGAAUAUGCACAUCUGUGUAUGUCUUCAGUAUCCAUAUCGUGGCCUUUACAACACCGUCAUGUAAACAGGCAUUGUCACUGGCGUGUCAUGAUUUCUUCGUACUCACUUUGGUUUACAUUUACUCGAUGACUCAGGAAUGUCAAAUUUCGGUCACCAGGCUUGAAUAUUAACCAGAGACAUGUGAAAUCAUUAGGCCACUUCUGGGCUGCUUUGUGUUCUCGAUGUUUGUUUUUUUGUACUACUUGUUGCCAUAGAAGCAGACCAGAACUGAACUGUGAAAUCCCAUAAUAAGGUAUGGCACUGUAUUUACUUUUUAUUUUUUUGUGGAAAGCAGACUUGCCCUGCUUGGCUCACAGCCUAGUACAUGCAAUUUCCCUGGGCAUACAUUGUAAAAAUCAUGCGCUGAUUUGUUUUGAUAGAUUCCAAGAAACCAAAACAAGAACAUUUCAAAUGGACUUUGACCAUUGACACAGCGAGUCUGGUUGGCAGGAUGUGUUAACCCAAAUGAAGGGGCAUUACACCUAAAUAAAUGAGAUGUGGAAGGGGCAGGAUUACCAGAGUCAACCCUUCAGUUUUAGUGCCUUAUAAUACUUGUUGACUCAGUACUCCAAGACAAAGCAUUUUUAUGGUAUCUCGCUUUCUUUUUUUUUGUACACUAUUUCUAUAGAAUAUCAUUUGAAUCCUUGACCUGUCUGUGAAUUCAACAGUUUUAAUAGCAUUAGAACACAUAGAAAGUGGGCUGCUUUAAUCGCUAGCCGUUUCACAUGUGAGGAUAGUAUUAUGACUAAUUUUAUGAAUCAUUCUGAAAAUGCACAGCUUCAGUGUUUUGUACUUAACUUUGAUAAUUAUGGAGCUCCACCCUCCACCCUGAUGACUUACCCAACCAAAAAUUUACAUUUAUGCUACAAUGUUCCCAUCUAUACUAACUAUGAAGGAGGAAGUUCAAUGCCAGUGUGAUUAAAUGAUUGUGUAAUUCAGUGGUUCCUAUCCCUUGUUCUGGAGGAACCCUUCUCUGCCAUUUUGUUGUCCUUUAGUUUUGGUCUAAUUAACAGGCCCUUGCUGAUACUGCAGUCACGUCGUAUAAGAAUAACUGUUAUUACCAUGCUUCGACUGAGGAAUAUAUUUUACCUCAUUUUCUGAUUGGAAAUGUAAAGCCAGAAUUUUGGGAUCUUCACAAUUUCCCGAACCAAACCUAUAAGUGAGGCAAAAGACUACUUGAAAAUGUUGUGUGUCCAGUUUCCGGGUUAUUUUUCAGUUUGUAUUAAAUUUAAAAAAAAUAAGGACAGAAAUAUGCUAACUUUUUAACAUAACCACAGCUAUAUGUUAAACAAAAUGGUAAUGUGCAAACACUGUCCCCUCAAAUUUUCCCACAUGACGUGAAUGUGAUUGAAGCAGGCUUAGGAACAGUUGGGCUUUUUUAUUUUUUGUGUACUACUAAGAGAUUAUCGAGUUUGUCUUAUGUUUAUCAUUUUUUUUGUAUGUUUGUUUGUUCUGGCUCUCAGAACUUUGUUCUUGUGGGUUUGUCUGACCCAGUAUUCCCGUCUGACAUUUUAUUGGACCAGUACUUUUUAUUUCCCUUGCUUUAGUAGUUCCACUUGAUCUAAAAGCAACAUGUCAGUUAUUUAUAGUAUGUUUUAUUUCUGUAUUGAUGAUGAUUUUUGGCUUAUGUUUCAAUGUAGUUUUCUAAAUUAAUGUAAGCAAUUACUAAUGGUCUGGUGUUUUAUUAAGUAUUGAGAUAAAUAAUGUAAUGUAUAAUUCACACAUUUUACACAUCAAAACCUUGGAUUUAAAAGUUUCUAUUUGGCAUUUUUGACAAAAAUUUUUUUUUUGUAAUGACUAUUUUGUUAAGAGGACCCUGAAUAUGAUAUUUAAAAAUUGCAAAUAAAAUAUUGAUGCUAUACAGUAUGUAUAAAUUCUAGGAGUUCAUAUCAAACUCAAUGUUAUAAAGCCAUAGAAUAUUAGGAUAGAACCUAAUUUUGGAUCGAUAUUCAACAAUAGUAUUUCACUGCAAUUUACCACAGCAUUCUAAUCCUUUGAUUAUGAUGUAAUAUAAUAAUUCCUAAAGAUUUGAAAAUGUUCAAUGCUUAAAAUGAUACACUUUUUUAAAUUCUGUAUUAAAAUGUGGUAUGUGAUGAUCAACAGAUGUUUGUUCUAAAGACUAAUUCUACUAAUUCUAAGUGUGAAUUAUUAUUUUGUUUGUUUGUUUGUUUUGCACUCCCACUUCUCAAGGAAUUCUGACCAAUCUCAUCUGGCCAUACAGUUAUUGUUUUUGUUUCUAUCUGCCUAUAUUUUCUAAUUAAUUUAAUUGGUUAUAAUUCCCAAAAUGUAAAUAAAUGAGUAAUUUAAACCAUAGUAAUCUUGGCCAGGAUAAAGUCAUUACUGAAAUUGAAUGUAUCCCCAUUCUGCACAAGCAAACUGCAGCAUUUGGUGCAUUCCUGUGUUCAUGAAUGUGACCUUUCUUUGUCUUGAAAGCUUCAUAUCUUUCCACUUAGUCCUGUCUAUAAGAGAGUAGAAAAGGCCCUCUCCUUUUAUUUAUUUUUUUUAGUCCCAUAGGAUUCCAGUCUACAUGUGCAGCAAUGAACUAUUUACUGUUAUGCUUGAUUACUGCCAAUUCAGCGAUACUUGUGUGGGCUCAAAGUUGACAGGGUUGGACAUAUUUGCUGUAGGUCUCUCUCUGUCUCUCUCUCUGUUUCUCCACCAUCCUCUGCAAUUAAUGCCUGAUUUUGCUAGGGUUAGGGUUAUCAUCAUUUUGGUAUGCCAUUAUAAAAGCUGCAUUGUUUAGUUAAUUGCAUUAAAUGACAGGGUGUUCCACCUGUCACUUUCUAGACUGCCUCAGGCGGAACACUGCCCAUGGUGUGUGCUGUUUAGCUGAUGCAAUCCUCCACCCAGAUAUCAAUCUGUAAGCUCAUUUACAUGAUCUCACAUUUCCUCCCCGUGUGUUACAUAUUAUCUGCACUCUACUAUGUGUUACACAUAUGAGCAUGGUAUUAUAUUACUUACAGAUCUGUGCUGUUUGCCCUAUUUAUAAUUGCUCACAAAAAAAUAAAAUUAAAUUAUUAACUGUAUUAAGUGGCUUUAUUCAUUUAGCAAAAUUAAUGAUGCAUCAAAUUAUCUCAUGGUGUACAUGGUGUACAUGUACCUACAGAUCAUUAUAGCCUUGACCACCAAAUUUCAGCUUUGUUUAACACUGACUUCUUCCCUGGGGAGUCAAUAUCACUCGAUUUAACCUACUUAAUUGACUGUUUAUAUCUGCUGAAAGUAUUGUGUUUUAUCUGUUCACUGUAACUUGUCUUUUUCUGAGCUGA